GAUCAGCUUUUAAAAGGCGGCGUAAAGCUGUCGCUAUGGGGAUGGCCCCCGCGGUGCAUUAGCUAGUUGGUAAGGUAAAGGCUUACCAAGGCGAUGAGUGCAUAGCCGAGUUGAGAGACUGAUCGGCCACAUUGGGGACUGAGACACGGCCCAAACUCCUACGGGGAGGCAGCAGUAGGGAAUCUUCCACAAUGGACGCAAGUCUGAUGGAGCAACGCCGCGUGAGUGAAGAAGGUUUUCGGAUCGUAAAAGCUCUGUUGUUGGUGAAGAAGGAUGAGGUAGUAACUGGCCUUUAUUUGACGGUAAUCAACCAGAAAGUCACGGCUAACUACGUGCCAGCAGCCGCGGUAAU
This 352-nucleotide ribosomal RNA is filed under the name uncultured Lactobacillus sp. Its description in RNAcentral is "bacterial SSU rRNA". It matches the Rfam family "Bacterial small subunit ribosomal RNA", at positions 191 to 524 of the family's 1533-position model. Lineage: Bacteria; Bacillati; Bacillota; Bacilli; Lactobacillales; Lactobacillaceae. The record is from RNAcentral.